This is a long non-coding RNA of Acromyrmex echinatior (Panamanian leafcutter ant), 900 nucleotides long. The record is from RefSeq and is a predicted model, not a curated record. Lineage: Eukaryota; Metazoa; Arthropoda; Insecta; Hymenoptera; Formicidae.
AUCAAGUGUGAAUCCAGCAAAAGGUAAGAACCCCCGUCCGUAUGCGGUCGUGAUGCAGUCAACUUCAGGUGGUAAAAGAGAGCGGAUAUUUCUUUCUGGGCGCUUAUUUCAAGUGAUUGAAAGUGCUUCCUCGACCGCUCGACGUGUAUCGUUAAGGAACAAUCUGGAUAAUAUGUAACUUUUAAUAAAUUAUCAUUCUUGAAAUGCCAACGUUUCGUGAACCUUGCAGUCCACUUCAUCAGGACAAGGAGCAGCUUGGUAGAAGGAGCCUGAUACUAUCUCCACGAGAGAAAAGAGUCGUGAGAGUCCGCUAGCCAUAACAAUAGUACGCAGGAGAAACCUUUCAGCCUCUUUUCAAAUAGAAAAAGGAAUUAUGCGUUCUCAGUGUGUAUCCUUAAGAAGAUAAAAGACGUGGAUCAGAUAAUCGCAAAUCAAAGAUCAUAAAAGAGAAGAUUUUAUUAACCUUGCCCGGGGAUAACGGAUGGUUAUAAUUCGUUUGGAAUCGUGGAACAGUUCCGAAAAUAACAUCAAAAUCUGUUUGCAAACUUUUGCAAGGAUCAUCAUUGCGUUUUCUGGUCAGCGAUCAGAUUAUCUCUUAACUUCUAGUUUUCCAGAUUUUGCCGUCUCGGAACAUUUUAUGUUCCUUAUAUGAUUAUACAUAUAUGGUGCCACAUAUAAUUAUAUCUCACAUAUAAUUACAUACUAUUAUAUACGUCGCUCUUCCUGUCAGUUCCUUUGUAGUUGCUCGAAAAGAGCAAUAGACGGCUUUAUUACUACAUUUUGAGAAAGAAAAAGGAUUGAUGUAUGGAUCUGGCAUGCAGAUUAGCAUAAAACAGUUAUAAGAAUAGCAGUCCCUACAUUCCAUGGCGCGAAGCAUCAUUUUUUUUAAUAGUUGGACAU